This 494-nucleotide small RNA is filed under the name Pongo abelii (Sumatran orangutan). RNAcentral's name for it is "processed transcript". The record is from RNAcentral. Lineage: Eukaryota; Metazoa; Chordata; Mammalia; Primates; Hominidae.
AAAGCGCCUACGGGAAAAACAGCUGGGAUGCAGACGGGCUAUGGAAAUCUCAGUUCUAGGAACCGUGUCCUUUCGUCCCGGAGCUGGGAUCUAGCAAUUGGGAGGCAGCAGACUUGGGUAAUGAAGAGAGAAAACAAAAGUUCUUGAGACUUAUGGGUGCAGGAAAGAAAGAACAUACUGGUCGUCUUGUUAUAGGAGAUCACAAAUCAACAUCUCACUUCCGAACAGGUAAGAAAGUAAAGUGUAAUUAAAAUGGAAGUGCUAAAUUCAGAAUAUGAAGUAUGUGUUCAUGUUUCAGGAUAUUCUACUUUGGCAUGUGUAAUUGUGUAAAUUAUUAAAAUAUUAGAAUUGGAGCUGGGUGCAGUGGCUUAAUGCCUGUAAUCCCAGUUAUUUGGGAAGUUAAAGUGGGAGGAUCACUUAAGCCCAGGAGUUUGAGGCUGCAAUGAAGCUAUGAUUGCACCACUGCAUUCCAGCCUGGGCUACAGAGCAAGACC